CAUCAUCGAGCAGAGCUGACUCGAUCCGGUUCGAGUUCUUGGCCAUAACAUGCGUGCUCGUGGAAAGCUCAAGAGAUCAAGCUUCAGAGAUCGAUGGAACAUGGCAGAAAAAUCUAUGUACAUUAGCUAAGAACGCAUGUACAUAUAUGUAUAGCUAGUUUCAACUUCCAAGUGCAUUCUGAGAGGGCUGUGAACUUCUCUGGUUUGUGCUUCCUUUUGACUUGAACAAAAAGAUCAUGCAAGCAGUUGCCUUGCUUGGACUCUGAAGCUUUGCUUUGGCGUCUAAAUUAAAUCAAGAUCCUACCUGAAUGGACAGUGCUGAACAGAUAGAUAAGUAGUAGUACUUAGCAUUUAGCAUUGAACUAGUUCUUGUCAACGAUAAGUAAUCCAAUCCAAGCGUGAGCUCACGCGUGCACUUUGAGUG
This 424-nucleotide small RNA is filed under the name Oryza sativa Japonica Group (Japanese rice). Its description in RNAcentral is "sRNA Os07g0559000". The record is from RNAcentral. Lineage: Eukaryota; Viridiplantae; Streptophyta; Magnoliopsida; Poales; Poaceae.